CCUACGGGGAGCUGCAGUGAGGAAUAUUGGUCAAUGGGCGAGAGCCAGAACCAGCCAAGUCGCGUGAGGGAGUACUGCCCUAUGGGUUGUAAACCUCUUUUGUCGGGGAGCAAAAGCCGGACGUGUCCGGCUGUGAGAGUACCCGAAGAAAAAGCAUCGGCUAACUCCGUGCCAGCAGCCGCGGUAAUACGGAGGAUGCGAGCGUUAUCCGGAUUUAUUGGGGUUAAAGGGUGCGCAGGCGGAUUUUUAAGUCAGCGGUCAAAUCGUGGGGCUCAACCCCAUCCAGCCGUUGAAACUGGGGAUCUAGAGUGUGCGAGAGGUAUGCGGAAUGCGUGGUGUAGCGGUGAAAUGCAUAGAUAUCACGCAGAACCCCGAUUGCGAAGGCAGCAUACCGGUGCACAACUGACGCUCAGGCACGAAAGCGUGGGUAUCGAACAGGAUUAGAUACCCCAGUAGUC
This 458-nucleotide ribosomal RNA is filed under the name uncultured bacterium. RNAcentral describes it as "partial 16S ribosomal RNA". It matches the Rfam family "Bacterial small subunit ribosomal RNA", at positions 338 to 795 of the family's 1533-position model. The record is from RNAcentral.